Ictidomys tridecemlineatus (thirteen-lined ground squirrel) is the source of this 814-nucleotide non-coding RNA. The record is from RefSeq and is a predicted model, not a curated record. NCBI's taxonomy places the organism in Eukaryota, Metazoa, Chordata, Mammalia, Rodentia, Sciuridae.
CCAGAGCAGUCUCUUCCUGCCUCUCCUCUGGGCUUCCGGGUCACCAGGAGGUCGGUGGCUGUUUCCGGAAGGAGCCGCUGCAGUUCCUUGCUGGAGAUUUGGGUGGGUUUCCUGGUAGGUUCUGGGCUUCCCGCGGCUCCGAGGCUGUGGGUCCUCCGCGGUGGUGCUCGCUGGCCCACUCCAUGUUCAGUAGUAAGCACCUUUGCUCUCAGGUGUUGUUUUAGGGAAGGAAACAGCUGGAGUUAAUCCACCAUUUAUAAAGCAGCGGAUUCAGUGCUCUGCUCUCCUGAUGGUUCUGAUUAAGGAUAUUUUCUCUUCCUCCUGAGCUCUAGCCAGCAUACCUGUUUGAAAUGGGGUUAUUCGCAUGCUUGGUCAUCUCCCUCCACCAGCAGCCAUGAAGAAGGCACCAUGCAAAAGUCUUUAAUGUUUGUACACACAGAAAGGAUCAGAAGUCACCUGAAAAAAAGAUAAAAUUUAGUGGGAUAAAGUGAGCUACAAUGUAAAAGUGAGAAAUUCCCAUUUGGUUGUCAUAGCUGCACAGCCCUGCUGGGUUUCCACACAAGAGGAGGGGAGACUAUGGCCAACAUUUCACAGUAAAUACACCAUUCUAUGUCAUUCAGUGGAUGUUAUUUUAUCCUACAGAAAAGCUCCAACUGCCUGAGACAUCACAGAUAUCAGAUUAAUUUUUCCCCAUGUUACCACCAUUCCUGUUAUUGUUACUGUUUCUCCCUCAUUUAAAGCAGAAUCAUUCCAAGAGAUCAACACAUCAUUUUGUCUUUGUUGAAUCACAUCUUUAAAUAUAUUUUGAGUUUUC